GGCCACCAAAGAAAAUUGUGAAGUUGACAGGGGCCCGGAAGCUCGCCGACCUUCACGAAAGUGUGCGGAUGGUUGGGUUCGCGCACCUGAUGACAUGCAACGAUCUCCUAAUACAGCAUGCUGGAAGCUGCACAGGGGAGUUGGCAAGGGGGCACAAGGAAGCAAUGCCCCGUUGCUGUCCGUAGGGUGAACGCAAGGUGACUCGUGGCGGCCGCAAUUUCUACGCUGCGCUUUUCAUCUCUGAAGCCAUGCGCAGCAGCGUGCAGUCGUCAUGUUCAGAAAAGCAGUGCAAAGGUACCCGAAUAAGCUGUACAACAUUGCUGCAAGGUGCCUUGGUAAACCAGUACCCAGCCCUGAGGAACAGAUUGGACUCUGGCUAUAUGCAAAAGGCGUGAGCGCCAUCAUGGUUCUACCAUUUCUUGUCAAUGAGCGAGGGGACGACAUGUUCACAAAAAUG
Dermacentor silvarum is the source of this 457-nucleotide long non-coding RNA. RefSeq lists it as uncharacterized. The transcript has 4 exons. The record is from RefSeq and is a predicted model, not a curated record. Lineage: Eukaryota; Metazoa; Arthropoda; Arachnida; Ixodida; Ixodidae.